GCCGACAGCACACGUGCAGAACGCACAACGCGACGCGAUCCGUACGUCGUACACGUACCGACACCGAACAACCGUCCGCGAUCGAAGCGAUGAACCGGCCGACGACGACGACGACGUUGGUUUUACUAUUCUUUUCGGUGGCUGCCGCAAAUGUGCCGUACGAUGACGGCCACGCGUUCCGGUUACUCGUGUUGCACACCAAUGACAUGCACUCGCGGUUCGAGCCGGUCGAACGGAUCGGCGCGCAAUGCAUGGACCGCAGCCCGGUACCGCGGUGUUACGGCGGUUUCGCGAGGCUCAAGACGGCCGUGGACGAGGCUCGGGCCGAGGCCCAAAAGUCCAACGGCUCUGACGGAACGCUGUUUCUCAACGCCGGCGACACGUUCCAGGGCACGGCCAUUUACACGUUCCUCAAGUGGAUGGCUGUGGCCCGCAUGAUAGACCCGCUCGGCAUCGACGUCAUGGUGAGUGAUUGUACAGUGGUGUGCGACGACACCUCGGGGUCGCCGCCGACGCUCGGGGUUAAGACGGUUAUGUCAUACGGUUAUUAUUAGAGUCACUCGUCGACCGACAGUGAAAUCCCCCGAAACCGAUAAUACGAGUAUUAAUAAUUCAAUUAAUAGGUUUGUGAUAAUAGAAAACGUAAAAUCGGCACAUCAAUAUCACAAGUGGGAUUUGUUAAUUAAUCGAUAGAUUUUGAGUGUAGCCAAGAAUGCAUUGGUUUUACUAAGAUGUUUAGUUUUUUAUUUUUUUAUCCUGUGCACAAAAAUUCUACCAGCAAUCUUACUCAGAUUUAUACGCACGGCACCAUUUCUGAAAGGGAACAUUGUCCAGAUGGUGCUUUUGGGAGAUCAUUUUUUGAUUUUCUAAGCGGAAAAUAUAAUAUGUAUAUAUAUAUUCACAAUAUCUAGGAAAAACCAGGAUAAAACGUAAAAGAACUGGAAAUUUAGGAAAAUAAUGCUUUUAUUAUUUUUCAAUUAUAUUAUUUGUUGUAAUUCAAUUGAAAAUAUUCGUAAACAUUUAAAAUUUGAACAAGAAAUUUAUAUUUACUUUUUCUAAGCGUGGUAAAAUAUUCAAAACAUUUGAGCCAUUUUAAGGCUAUUUAUACAAAUUUUAAUAUUUUUGUUGAGAUUCAGUUAAAAAUAUUCGUAUCGACUCAACUGAACUUGUAAUUUAGACAGAAAACUCGUAUUUGUUUUUUCUAGACGUGGUAAAAUUUUCAAAAAAUUUAAGUCAUUUUUGAGGUACUUAUAAACAUUUCAAUUUUGCGAGUUGUGUACGAAAUUUUUAUUCGGUAAGUACUCUGUGAUAAAAUUGUUAGACUUAAUAUAAAUGCUUUAAAAUUUAUUAGGAAAUUCAUUAAAAGUCUUACUUUGUUGUCAAAAAAUGAAAAUUUAAGUUUAAUGUAGUAUUUUUUUUUUUAAAAAGGAAAUUUAACAUCAAAUUUUGACGAAAAUCGUUGAGAAAAAAAUUACCCGGAAUAAAUCUAAUUUUUAAUUUUUUUUUUUUUGAAUAUAUGUAUAUUGGUGAUGGAGUAUAUCGACGAUAAAAAAAAUGGUGAAGUCAGUAUUGAGCGAAUCGAAAUUAUAGUUUUUUGAAAUUCUGAUAUUAUAUGUUAUAUUAAAUAACUAAAUAUUGUCAUUAUUUUUAGUAUGUUUGUUGUAGCCAAACGGUUAUACAUGCCUAUUAGGGAUUGAGGAGUAUAAGUCUGCCGGAACAACUGUUUAUGGAAGAUAUAGUAAAAUGCGGAACAAAAAUAUUGUGGGGUAAACAGUAUACAAGGCGAUCCAUUUAAAUGGGUGCACUCGAUAUAAUAUAAACUAUGUGAAUUUUUCCUUCUCAACAGUAUUAAAAUAUACACCUAUAAAUAAACUGUUUUUAAAUUAUAGUUAUUUUUGUACAUUCGGUACCUAUUGUCUAAACACUACACUCUAGAGUGUAAUAAGGUAUAUUAUAAAAAUAUUUUUAAAUUACUCUGUGCAUCGCCAUAGUAAAUUAUACAUAUAAAACAUUAAAAAAGGAUUGAAUUAAUAUUAUGUACACGAUACCAAGAAAUAUACAAUAUUCAUUUUUAAUAUUUAGUCAUAAUACAGUAUUGUUAUUAUUAAUGAAAACGGUCUCUUAUGUUUCGGUUUCUUAUGAAAAAUAGUAUUAUUUUAAUAACAGAUUAAAUUGAAAUCCAAUCGUUUUAUUCAAUUCUUGGAUUAAAUAAGAAUCCCAAACAAAAAAAAAUAAAUCAAUGAGUUCAAAUUAUAACAGAAAACAGUGGUGACCAAAUUCGGACCGCGAUCAAUCAUUAACCGGCCCACCAAAGUAAUAAAUCAAAAUUAAAAAAUUAAAUAACUUCAAAUUUCAAAAUUUAACACUCAUAUCGAAAAAAAGACAUGUUUAUACUUUACUUUUUUUCUCAUUCAUAGUAAAUAAUUAAAUAAAUCACUGUACCUAUAUUUAGAUGUACCUACAAUAAGAUUUAAUAUUCUAUUAACUUAAAAGUAAAAGUUGAAAUCUGUAGAACCUCAGAAAUAACCGGGCAAACGUAGUAGUGAUUUAAUAGUAGGUACAGAUUUUUUUUUUCUUAUAUUACAUAUACAUAACGAUAAAAUAAAAUAUAACUGGUCCAAUGUGAUUACACGUGUACAACGUAUACAUAAUAAUACCGAAGUUAUGAAGGUAUUGAGAAUUAUAAAAGUUAGUACAUUUAAUUAUAAGUUACCAACCUAAUAUGAAAAAUUGAAAUUUAUCGACGCUACGGUUUUGCCCAAAUGGGAUUGGUCACUAGGUUUUCCUAGGCUACAGCCGAAAUACGACGUUUUUCCAAGUAUCGCGGGCACUUAGAGUUUUGUCGAGUUUCGGAUACAAACGAGAAUUCAAUGUACAUCAUCUGUAAGCAACGAUAAACCAUUGCUAACGAAAAAACCAUUGUGAGCGAAAUUCAGUUGAUAGUGUUUGCUUUGUCAACAAUAUAUAUGUCAUAUUAUAAUACGCAAUAUUUACAGUGAAAAUUCCAACUGCCGUGUUCCAUUCGUCUACAAAUUUACUAACCUUAACUGACACAUCGUUGUGUGUAUUAUAGAGAAUAAUCCGCAUUUUUAUAAAAAAAUAAAAAAAAAAUAAAAUCAAUUUCUUUUAAACAUUUAUACUGAUCUUUGGUGGGGAAGGGUAGUGAUAUUUGACGGACACUUGCUAGCGUACGCGGAAGCAGAUCACAUCGCCCACAUCGCGGGAACUCGGCAAUUUCCUCAAUGUACAAUAAUAUAACUAUCAAAAAUAAAACUAACGCGACGAAUGCUCUGUUAUACGUGGGAAGUCGAAAAGGUAGGAAAUAUAGGAUGAUUUAUUUUAAAUUUUGAACGCGACGAUAAAUCAUUGUAAACGAAAUAUACGUACUUGUGAGGGGAACUUUUCGGUUAAACGUUUGUUAAACAGUUAAAAUCGAAAAUGUUAUUAAUAUUCUAGCUGUGAUAUGAUUUAUAGCAUAAAUAUUUAAUUUAGUUAUUUAAUUAAUAUUUGUACAUAACAAAACUAUUGCCCAUGAAAAAUGAUAAAAUUACCGUAAUUUUUACGAUUUUCGUUAAAAUUUAAUCUUAAAACGAUUAAAUAAAAAAACUACUGCAUUAUGCCUGACUUUAUUUUUUUUUACCGUAAAUUACAAUUUAUAAUAAAACUAUUGUUUUUAAUUUUUAAGCAUUUACUUUUUGGUCAAACAAUUGUAUCCACAUAGUAUAAACUUACUAAAAAAAAACUAUGUAAAAAAAUUAUAAAAUGUGAAAUGUCUAUAAAUAACUCAAAAAUAUUUUCAGGAUUGUUAAACAAUUUUAACACGUUUAGUAAAAAUGAAUAAAAUCUAUCUGUAAAAAUGUCAUGUCUCUAUUAUAAUUUUUAACAGAAUUACAACAAAAAACAAAAUUGAAAAUUUUGAUAUUUUCCCAUUCUUUCUAUAUUUUUCCCGGUUUUGUUCACUUAUUAAGAAAACAACACGGUACAUAAAAAAUCAGCCUCCUUAAACACCAACAAGAUCCAAAUUUCAACAAAAAAUAUUAAUUUUAAUUUUUUGUUUGGAACAAGUUUCCUGGUAGAAAGUUACAUUUAUUAUAUUUUCACCGUUUUAAAGAAAUUCCGCGCACAAAACUUAAAUAUCAUUAGUCGUAUGUACAUGAAGACUGAGAACCACUGGUAUAAUACGUAUAUGCUAUAAGCCUGAGCGAGAAAUGUAUACAUAUACAUUUUAAAACGUGUACAAAUAAAAAUAGAUCAGAAUAAUUUUUCGGAGAAGGAGAAACUGUCGUACAGGUGGUGUAAAACAGUAUCUCGUUUUUAGAGAACUACUGCCAUAGUGACAUAUACUAAUAUUCCCGUAGAGGGGUAUUUCGUAACAAUUGGGAAGAACUUAGGUAAAACGGGACACACAUACACGUAUGAAAAAAUAAGUACAAUUUUUACUUUGAAAUGAAAUAUAAAAUAAAUCUUUACAUUGCGUAUAUUAUGUGGGUUGACUCUAUUAAAAUGAAUACGGCUAAGAAUGAAAGAGUCGUCAAUAUUAUUGUUUAAUAAUUUAUUAAUAAUUGAGACGAACAAAUUGUGUUUCCUUACUUUCAAUGAUUAUAAAUUUAAAAAAUUUAUAAUUUUAACAUAGCCCGAGUGGUUGGUCUUUGGUAUUUUAAAAUUAAAGCAAAUAAAUCGGAAAACUUUGUUUUGGAUACCUUCAAUUUCGUUACUAUAGCCAAUAGUAUUAUUUUCCCAGAUUAUCGAAGGAUAUUCAAGCUGUGCACGAAUGAUAGAGAUGUAUAGUUGCCCAAAAGUUAUUAUUAAGGUUGUUGAAUUCAGAACCGUUUCGUUUGACCAUGCUAUUUAUAGAAAAAGCUUUUUUUUUAAUUGCUAGGAUAUGAGAAUAAAAUAUAAGUUUGUAAUCAAACCAUAUUCCAAGAUUUUUUAAUUAAUGAGAAACGAAAUAGAUAAAUAUCUGUUAAACGAUAUUUAUAAAUGAUGUGAUUACGUUUUUUAUUUUUUUAAUGUUUUAUUUGACAUUUAUCUAUAUUUAUAGCGAGACCAUUGAUUACAUAUUUUCAAUAAACCCAAUAUAUUAAAAUAUUUGUUUUGUUAAUGGCAACGCCAUUUCAUGUUGUUUCUUCUGCAGUAUUAUUGUAACUUGUCGUUACAUGAUUAAUUUCUUUUAUGAAAAACGUCCUAUUUACAAAGGAGGAGGUUGGUAAUACAUAUCGCCCAUUCACUUCCCUAUAAGAAGGGCUUAUGUACGAUACCGAAACACGGUGGCGCCAAAUGUUAUUUGUUUUGUAUAUAAUAUUAUAAUAUUAAUACGUAAGUUUUAUUUCGAACUCCGUAUUAUGAUGUAAUAAAUUGUAUCGUCCUGCGAAACGCGUCUAUAUCAUUUAUUAUCGUUAGGCGCUUCGUGAGAAAUAAUUAAUGCGCGCUAAAAUACGAGCACCUACACGUAUAAUACGGUUAAAUUACGUACUUAAUUAUACUACACGCUAUUAUAAACAAAACGUAAUUGAUUACAUUAUCACAACUAUAACUUAGUUGCAGUUACACGCGAAUCGUAGCAUAUAUUAUUUAUUGUUCCGUUUAAGCCGACGUGCGUCUAAUCUAUAGGUCAAUAAUACUCAAUAAUAAAUUAUCGUCACGUAAGAAAAUCGUAUAUGCCGUGUGAAUGUAAGGUCAAGUGUCAUCGUUAUAUAAAAUCUAGUGUUGUCGAAUUCGAAUAAAAGUAAUUUCUCGUGUUAAAAGCCGCAAGUGGUGUGCAUAUUAUAAUCGUCGAAGUAAAUACAAGAGAGGUUCUUCCCCGCCUCCUCAAUCAAGGCUUCGUCGAGUAAAUACCAAUCGACAUUUCUUCAUUAAGUGAAAGUCACAGUAGCGUCAUGCCACCAAGUCUUUCUAGAGGACGACAACAUAAUAAACAACGUGGUCGAUGUAAAGCAAAACAAAAAGGUGUUUAAAAUUGAUUAUAGAACUAAUAAAGCACCCGCCUUCAUGCGAUUUAUAGAUGAUCAUUUUUUAAAGAAUAAGACAUCGGUUAUUUUGAAAAUAAAGCUGCGGCCUCUCACUUAUAGGGGCGAUUUUCGUUUUUGAGUUAGUGACGGUGGAAAUAUCUUUAUACCUGCAUAGAAUCGCAUGAUCGGAAAGUGGAGAAGAAAGAAAAACCCGAGAACUAGAAGCAAUGUACCUAUGACAAAAAGAAUAUUUUAGAAACCAUCAAAAAACUCUUCCGGUGAAAAAUAACCCGUCAGGAAAUAUACCGUUAAGAAGGUCAAGAGUGAGUUAAGAAAAUGUGUUUAAGAAAGCUGUAGAAGCUUUAAGAGGCAGACUGAAUGGGUUAGGAUGAUGAAUUAAAAAAUAGUUGAGGGACGAGUUGUGAGAAAGGAUAAUUUCAAAAUUUUACAAAAUUCGGAAAAAAUGUUUUUCGACCCCUUUUAUAUAAACAAUUAAGUGAUUUUCAGUAGUACAAAAACUGAAAUUUAUUGUGGCGGUAAACGGAGAUGGAGAUUUUUAUACCGGUGGUGAUCAGUUAGAUCGAUAUUGGCGGAAAAUUUAAUUACUCCUUAUUAAUGAUUAAAAUUAGGAACGGUUCCUAAAAACAUCGGUACCAGUUCGAUUCAGAAAAUAUUUCUUUUGGUUCUCGAUGCCGAUACUGGUUCUUCUUUUUACAAUGUGAAAAUAAUAACUUCAAACAUUCGUUGUAUAAUUCAUAAGAUAAAGAAAAAAAUGUCUACUGAUUACUAGUUAAUAGUGUGAUUUGACUCAUUGAUAAUAGGUCCCUUUGUAAAUACCGAUAUUUACUAAAAGAAACAAAUGAUUAAAACGAAUGUGACUACAUAAAAAAAAAAAUAAAUAAUACUAAUAAUAAUAAUUACCAGAAUCGAUAUAAUAUAACCAUGAACCCGAAGAAACAAGAGCCGGAUCUGACUGAUCCCUAGUUAAGAUUAAAUUAAAUUAAAACACUCAUAUCUUUUUAAAAAUGAAGAUAUUAAAAAAAAUCAUUAGGUCAAGGUAUAAUUAAUACUUUUCUUUAAAAAAUCUACAUUGGUUCUUCGUGAAAAACUCAACCAGAGUUGUGGAAGAAAAUUUAUCACAUUUAGGAGUUGAAAAUUGGAGAGAGAUAGUUCAAGAUACUGUGAUGGAAAUAUGAUGAGAAAGUGAGAGAUGGGCGACGAAGUGCAGUUAUGGUAUUUAAGCUUUAACCCUGUACGGCCAUACUAUCCUUCAUUGAUAUUGAUAUUGAUAUGGUGGUAUGAUUCUAAUUCUCGAAAAGAUGGAGGAAAUUAAUAUUAUAUGCAAUUAGCAUAUAAAUGAAAGUUAGUUACGUAUCGUAUUUUGUAUACAUGCAUCUGUGACUGUGCGUUCUACGCCUUUUGUCUAGGUAAUGACAAAUAUCUUAAAACAUUUGAUUAGCAAACAGGGACACCAACUGCGAAUAAAAUCAGACAUUUUUACAUUUUUUUCCCAUUAAAAGCAAAUUGAUUUUAUGAUGAAAAUUAUUAAAUGGCUAAAUACGUUAUCUAUGAUAUUAUUUACGGUAAAUCAACAAUAGCUCUUGAAAAGGAAAAAAAACACAAAUUAUUUAUUUUUGGUUGUCUGACAAAUUGUUGCUCAACAGUGCAUAGUCAACGGAUCUACAUGUUUUUCACGUAAGUUUAUUAUUAUCUCGUGAUUAUUUCUCUCCGGUAAAUGAAGUUAAAAAAAAAAACCGAUUUUGUAGCAUCGCAAGAUGGCUAUAGUCCAUUCGGCUCUCAUUUUACAAAAAGGCCAAUUCCCAAACGGCUCUCAUUAUAUAAAUAUGUCAAUUCCAAAUUCAAAUUUGACCCAAAUGGAAUCUGCAUCCCUUUAUACUCACCGAUAUUCAUGGUUUUUGUACUGCAGAGUGAAUAGCCUCUUCAAAAUCUACGAAUGUAACUUAUGGAUUUAUGAAAUCACACAACGCUGAAAGAGCUUUUCCGUAGAAGACUGAUGUUUUUUCGGGCAAAACACAGUAAGUCAGGGGAAGAUAGUGUCCGUUAUGGGAAACAUAGGGUAACAAUACGAUUGAAAACGCUCGACCUUUUCUAGCGUACGAGAACGCUCGAAAUAGAACAAUGAAAUAGGCGCUUUUGACCCUGAUGACCCGAUGAUGAACUAUUACUUAUAUCCCUCCUACUUAAAAAAUUGUCAUAUAAAUGUAAAUGAUUAUGUUCCAAAUGUAUAUCAUAUAUUUCGCCAAUACUGUUAUUCUUAAAAAAAGAUUUACAACCACGUGUUGUAAAUUUCCACCGUUUUAGGUCGACAACCAAUUUUUGUCGAAAGAAAACGGAUAUUUUUCUAUGCACCUUUUUUUUCAGAUUUUUACUUUACAUUUUUCACUGUACAAUUUUAUUAUAUUAUACACGACUAAACUACGGCUAUCACAAACUGACUGACUGGCAUAUCAAGUUACAUUGUAUUCUGUAUUUUGUGAUAGAUAUUACGUACUUAUUAUUAAAGUCGAAACUUGAUAAAAUUGGAUGCAACACGAUUGCGAACGUUUUUCUAUUUUUAUAACACAAUUGCGAACGUAUGUCGCUUAUCAAAUAAUUUUUUUUUUAUCUGAAAAACGAACGAUUGUGUACGUUUUCUGAGACUUCUUUGUUAAGCUUAGAUAGUGUACAUUUUUCUAAAUAUGUUUUAUUCUAUUUGGAGGUUCAAUUAUAAAUAUUAUAACUACGUUAUAUAUUAAAAUAAAAUGACACAUAAUUAUUGAGUUUAAAAUGGUUUAAAUUUUUUCUCGGUAAAAAUAUUAUACAACACGAGAAUCACGAUAAUACUGCACGACUACACGAAUCAAGCUGGUUUCCAUCAAAUUAGUAUCAAUUUAGGACUAAUGUUAUUGAUAUGUAUGUUAUCGCCCGGUGUAAUAGCAAGAAACCAUUGUUGUUAACCUUAUAUAAUUUGUUUAUAUGAAAAUAAAAGAAAAUUUUAAUAAUAUUAAAUAUAUUUAUUAUAUAAAAAUAAUUGACAAACAUCAAAUCUGGCAACUCCGCACUAAAAAUAGCAAGUAAAAACGUUCGUAAUCAUGCCAUUUGUAAUCACCCGAUAAAAUUCGAUGAACUAGUUAAAAUUCUUUUAACAAUAUUCCAUAUAAGCAUAGAAUGCUUGAAACGUAAAAUUCAAACUCCAAUAAUUUAAAUUUAUUCAAUAAAACUUGUUUGGGAAUUUACAUCCUCGUAAAGCCAUUUUCGACGUGACACAUUUCGGGAAAGAAAUAACGGAUGGAAACAGUUUGGGUUGCACCACGCGAGAUACACGACAGAUUUACGUCCGAUAUUCAAAAAAUAAUAAGCACAAUUUAGGUACUUAUAAUACCUACCUAGUUAGAAUCGUCAUUUUUAUUACACGCAAUAAUAAAUCGUCUCGACAUCACUCUCGGCACGUUAUUCGAACGGGUAAUUUAAAAAAAAAAUACGAUUGUAUAAUGUUAUUAUAACCUGCAACACUCGCCCCUUUUUAUUUUCCUCCUCUCCACUUUUGUAUUAUGAAAACAAUUCCGACUACACACAUGUGACGCUUAUUAUUAUAUUGUUCCCACCGGAAAGCGAGAAAAAAAGUUCAAUUAUAUAUUCCGUUUCCGUCGGGACUCAGUGUUCGUAUAGAGGUACCUGUUACACCGUUCUUGUGCAAUAUAAAAUCAUCACGAGAGACAUUUAUUUGUCAUUAUUUUGGGAACAACCAUUACCGAAUUUUGAUUUUCAAUAAUCAUCGUCUAAAUUUAAAAUUUUUUAAACAGAUGAUGUUUUAGUUAAAGUGGAUUUUGGCGUUGAUUUACGGUGGUAAAUGCGUUUACGCGGUAUUCCUUUUUAAAAAUAAACAAAUAAAAAUAUUAUUUCUAUUUAAAAAUUCAGCUGCAAGUAUGUACAUUUUUAAUUUUUUUUAAUAUCCUUACAAUACAACGCAUAUAGAUUUUAUGAUACCUAAUGGAUUGUUUUCCUGUAUGUUAACAAUUUUUGUACUAGAAAUAUCACACUGAUUACCUAGAAAAGCAUAUUUUCUGAAAGAACACCAUCUUGUUGAUCAGUGCAUCCACAGAGUUGAUUAUUUUGUGAUUUUCGCUCUCGUUUUUUUAAUAAUUGUUAAAAAGGAAAAAUUUAUUGCUGAUUUCUGGGUUUAAUAGAAAAACACUUUUAAUAAUACUUAGCUCAGAAUUGUUUUUUCAUUUGUAAUAGUUUAUCGUUGCGUACGGUAUACAAUUUAAUUUCCCCUAUAUAUCCUAUCUUCUUAAAUACCCAUCUACUAGAACCCAUCGUUAGACAAGGUUGGGUAAAAAUUAUUAUAUUAUAUAGUAUCUCUAUUGCCUUCAUAAGCAAAACUGCCGUAAGUCCAAAAGAAUUAAAAAAUGAUUUAAAUACAUAAAAAAUAUAUAUACUAUAUGCUUAAAACAUUGUCCUAAAAAAUAACUACUCGGUAAUAUUUGUUUUCACCGAACGUAAAUGGUCAAAAAAUGUAUUUUUACUGCAUAAAAACGCCGUUUAAUAAUAACCAUACUAAGCAAAAACACCAUAGAUAUUGAUGAAGAUGUGAUAAUUUUGCUUAGUAUACAAUAAAAAUAAAAAUUUGUGGCAUUUAUACUUACUGCAAAUUGUGGUUUUUUUGAUCAUAAUGUGACACGUGUAAAAUAUAUUUGUAACCAACACGUCAUUAAAAUAUAAUAGUCAUAAUAUAAAUUACAAUAUAAAAAGUUAGUUAAAAACGUCAACAAUUAUUUAUCCAUAUUAAUUUGUAUUGCAUUGCAUUUAUCUGGUAAAAUGACGUAUAAAAAUUAAUGUGUCAUACUUUAGGCUAAGGGUGCAUAUUUGACUCUUUUCCGAUCAGAUCUGACUCGAUUCGACAGUUUAACUGGUCGAAAGAAAAACAUAACCGUGUAUAUUAUCGGCAAUAGCUAUAUUUAUUCGUGCUGUUCGUUCCCGACGCACCGACUAGUCGGAUAAGUCAGAAUAAAACUAACAGGUUUGUUUUUCUUCCAAUCACUUGGACCAAAUUAGAUUAAAUUAUCAGAAUAUAUUCUCGAAGCUUAAUACUUUUAAUACUUAAUACUUUUUUAAAUAUUUCUCAUUUGUAAAAUUUGUUCAUAAAUGAUUUAUCCAACUUGAAUCAUUUAAAUAUAACAUAUUAUUGUUAUUAUCCAGUUAAUCAUCCCAUUCGUCAUCUGAGCUGCUAGAAAUUAAAAAUAUAUUGAAUAGAAACUGUGUAAUAUUAAACACGGCUAAUAAACAUGAGCACUCUAAGCGUCGGUGAAUGCUUAUAAAUAAUCGUCGAUACAAAAUCGGAAAUUAUGUAGCCACACAUAUCGGAUGAGUAAGGUACCGGUUGGGUCAGUCGUAUCGAAACGAAUCGGAAACGGGUCCAAUGUAGCUAUAGCCUCAAGAAGUAAAACGUACUUGGUAUUAUGAAUGUUAGAAAAUGCAAAAUAUAAAAACACGUUUUUCUCAAAAAUGUUCUCAAUAAUUAUUUAAGACGUUUUUGCUUUGAGGGCUUAAUAUGCAAAUGACGAAAAAUAAAAUGAACGUUUUAUUCGCCACAACGGCGUCUCAAAUUUGGUCUGGGUUUAAACAAAUAUAUUAGAAAUAUAUUAUGAUAUAUUAUUAUUCGCGCGGCCGUAUAAGUUUCAGGGAAUAAUAAUAUUAAGUAUAAUAAUUUAGUGUCAACUGACAUAACGCGAAUUUUUCAUAUUAGAUAUGCGAAUACGUGAAACAGUUUUGAUAAAUAAUGUACAGCAGUGUACAACAGUAUAACCUUGCGUACAAAGAGAAACGAGAUAAUAUUAAAUAUAAUUUAUAACGACUCAAUGGAAUAUUUGUAAAAAUAACAGGAAUUUACGGAAAAUCGGAUUCGUUUUAUAGUAAAAUUUAAUGAUUACGCUAUGAACCGUCAAGUAUAUAAUCGAAUGUUAAACAGGAAAAAACGGUCUGAUAACGAACUCGUAGAGUUUAAAACGUUUACUUUCAUUUUUCUUUCUUGGCAUCAUAACUCUUCAAGAGUUUUUACCUCUAUCGCUAUUUCCCCCCACUCCUCACGAUUUUUCAAUUUUUCUUCCUAUUUUAUUAUUAUUCUGGACAUCCUACAUUAUCCUAUUAAUCUAUUGCUUCUUUGAAUGCCCUCUUGCUAUAUUUCCUGUUGGAUUUCACUCGACAAAUGCUCUUAUAUCCUCUGCGUCGGCCUUCCCCAUCUCGUGUCCGAACCAUUUUUUUCGUUGCACUUUCACAAAGUUAGUAAUCUCUGAAACUCCUGUCAGAUCUCGGAUUUUUUUGUUUCUUCCUCUACGAUAAUAUUCUAAAUCAGGUACAUAGGCUAAAAACUUGAUCAAACAAAACAUACAAAUUUCGAUUUUAGUCACUAUCUAAAGGCAAUUCAUUUGAAAACCGAAUGAACGGUGGGACAUCGUUAUCAUUGCUUUUUAUCUGUUCAUUUUUCAAAAGCGUUUAGUUUUUGUUUGUUCGUCAUUAAAAAUUACAUGACUUUGCCAUGAAAAAUUGUUUUAUCACCAUUUAAAAUAAAUUUAACGAAGUAGUGAAAAGCCAUUUUAUUUUAUUUCCAAAAAAAAUACACAGUACAAUACAAUACAAAACGAAACACAGUAAAUAAAUACUUGAAUUCGACUCUCACAAUAUCUUGAUAAUAAUAAAUUAUAUUAAUAAUAGUUAAAUUUAAUGAAGUGAAACGCUAUAUUAUUUUCUUUUCAAAUCAAACUACAUAGUACACAAGACGAAACAAGUGAGGUAAAUGAGUGAACAGCACGAUUAAAGAUACCUUUACCGACCUCGAGGUAAAAAUAGCUGCUCGUGAAAAGCACUGCUCAAACGGCCGGGUGGUUCAGGCAACUCCAAAAACGCAAUUAAUAACGCAUUUUGGCCAUGGUUUGGCCGAUUAAGCAACUCGCCUAUUGUCUGAUUUAAAAUUUUAAAAUUCAAUUUUCACAAACGAGUUUUGUUAGAAUUGGAAGUUUGAGUAAACUAAGGACUUUGAUAUAUAGUUAAAGUAAACAACAUGACUAGUUAUAUAAUUAUGUAUAACAUUAUAUAAAUAACAAACUAGACUCUAUCAGGGAUUGUGUGCACAGUAUGACAUUUUGUAAAAGAAUAAGAACGUAUAUCCAAAAAGUCCUAUUUAUAUGCUACCUUUGACGUAAUGUUCUGAAGUCAGUUCUUUUUUUUUAUUCAUGAUAAUAAACUUAUAAUGAACCUCGUGUUAAGUUUUCAAGCAUUUCUAUUUAGUCUAACAAUUAUAUCCACAGAGUACCUACAGAAUAAAAAUUACUUAAAAACUGGCAAAAUAAAAAUAUCAAAAAUAGCUCAAAUAUUUUGAAAAUUUUACCAAGUUAAGAAAGGAAAAUAGAAGUUUUCUUUCCAAAUUUUAAUUCUCUACGAAUAUAUUAAACUAGAUUAUAACUUAAAAUCAAAAUUGAAAAUAAUACAUUUCGUAAAUUUUCCCGUUUCUUACAUUUUUUCCCAAUAAUUUUGAAAAUUAAAAAAUAACCUCCUAAGAGUAUCAACAAAAUAAUAUUUCCUUUCAAAAAAGGCGCUAUAUUUCAAAGUCGGAGGAAAAUGUCUGGUAGAAAAGUUAUUCCUAGAAAAAAAUAAAAAUAAUAAUAAAUAAAUGAGAAAAUUAGUAGGCCAAAAAAUAAUUGAAUAUAGGUUUUUGCAGUAAAUAAAGGUACUGUGAUAAGACGUGAAAAACAAAGAGCACGAAAAAUAAACGACGUGGGAAACAAUGAGGAUGAAGAAUAGACGACGUUAUCGAGAGUAUUGGUUGAAUUGUAUAUUGUGUGGACAUUUUAUCUCAUUGAUACUCUAAGGAGGUAAUUUAUUAAUUUUCAAAACGAUUUGAUAAUAAUUGGGAAAACCCGUAAAAAAUAUAAGAAAAAGAAAAAAUGUACGAAAAUAAUGCUUUUAUUUUUUUUUUUUUUUUUUUUUUUUUUUUUUUUGUAAUUCAGUUCGAAAUGUUCGCAGAGACUUGAAAUUUGAACAGAGACAUUAUAUUUGCUUUUAUUGAAGUGAUAAAAUAUUCAAAACAUUUGAAUAAUUUUUGUGCUAUUUAUAAACAUUUUUAACUUUGCGAUUUUUUAACGUAAUAUUUGUUCAUUAGGUAUACUGUGAAAAAAAUUGUUAGACCAAAUAUAAAUGAUUGACAAUUUAACAGGACGUUCAUUAUAAGUUGUACCUUGGUGCCUAGUGGUCAACAAGAAAACGUUGAGUUUAAUGUAGUAUUUGUUUUUUAUAUUAGAAUUUCAAUAUCAAAUUUUGAAGGAAAUUGUAAAUACUACGGCCUUUAAAACAAGUAUAGUUGAACUCCGCUCAGAAUCCUUUUCUGUUAGCAAUGUUUUAUUAUUGCAUACAAUACAUUAAUUUCCUCUUUAUAUCCUACCUUCCCAACUUCUCACCUGCAAUAGUGGCCCGCCCAUUAUGUGAAGUAUGUUCGUUUUUUUUUAGUUUGGAAAUUAUUUUAAUAAAUUAUUAUUUUGUUAAUAAUACGAAUUACGUGUACGUUAUAGAGUUUGGGAAAUCACGAAUUCGACGACGGCGUGCAAGACGUCCAGUUGUUCAUACACAACAUAACCGUUCCGGUAGUGGCCAGUAAUCUCGAUCUAACCGGCGAACCUUCAUUGGCUAAUGAGCCAAAUUUAAUGAAAUCCAAGGUGCUCACGGUCAACGGUCGCAAAAUCGGCAUUAUCGGAUACUUGACGCCGGAAACAUCAGUAUGUAAAAAAAUUAAAUAAAAUAUGAUAAUUGACUUGUUUUUUAUUUUUACGAAUAUUCAAAUGUAAGAAUAGUGGCGAACCUAAGCUUUUUUUAGGGGAGGGGUGAAAUAUAUUUUUACCCACUCUUAAAAUAGAAAAUUCCAUAAAAAAGUAAUGUCGCAGAUACAACAAUUGUCUUAAUAAUUACAGAGAUUGGGUACUUAAAAAGUUAGGUUAGAUUAGGUUUGUGAAAUAUAACAUUUUAACACAUGAAAUAAGGAAUUUGUAUUUAAAUAAAUAUAAUAUUAUAAUACAUGUCAUAAAUGUAUAACAUAUUGUCUCACCUCUGGUUUUUCAUAGAAGAGAAUUUUUUAAUAAUAUCAUCCACUGGUUACUUUUUUCCUGGUAAAUAUGCAUAGUACAAGCCUAAAUAAACGAUCCAGACACAUUUAUUUUGUAAUUAGAAAUCAAUGAUAGGAAACAACGGUCGAACCGCCAAAAAAAAAUGAUAACAUCAGAAACCUUAUCCAUUUCUACCAUAGAAACGGAUAACAAAAAUAUUUUAUACCUAUGUGUUCGACCACCAUAUAUUAUUAACUAGUUACUUUAAAAAAUAUAUUUUGAAAACAAUUGUGAAAACAUUACAAAAAAAUAACAAUACACACAUGCAUAAGGUCUACGGGAGGAGGGGAGCGAAUGUUCCGAUCACCCCACCCUCUUUCAGGUAACUGCCACUGUGUAAAAAAAAUUAAAACUUGAAAUGUAUUUAUAUCUAUUGAAAAAUGUGUUAUUUUUGCGUAUUAAUACAGUAUUUAGCGUUCGUGGGUAAUUUAAAAAUAUUACCAGAAAUCCCAUCGAUAACUGCUGAAGCGAAACGCCUGAAAAACGAAGGGGUGAAUAUUCUUAUAGCACUGGGGCAUUCCGGUUUUGAUACAGACAAAAAAAUUGCGGAACAAGUGGACGAUAUCGAUCUGGUGAUCGGUGGGCAUACCAACACGUUUUUAUACAAUGGUGAAUUUCACGAUAAAACAUUUUAAAAAAUACACGGGAAAAAAUGGCCAACAAGUUUUAUGUUGUUUUAUACAGGAGAUCCGCCAGACCCCAUCGACGAACCCGUCGGCCAGUAUCCAUUUAUGGUAAAACAACCAAGAACGAAUAGAGAAGUGCCCGUAGUACAGGCGUUUCAUCUGACCAAAUAUUUGGGAAAAUUGUGGAUAGAAUUUGACGAGGCAGGAGAAGUGAUUCGAAGUUACGGGAAUCCUGUUUUGUUGGAUUACCGUUUCGGGCAAGGUAUAUUAUUAUAAAUAUAACCUAUUUUAAAAAGAAAUUGUACCUAUUCAAAAUUGAUAGUUCAUAAUGAUAAUAAUGUAACCUAAAUGUGUACAUAUUUCCGUUUACAGACCACAACAUUUUGAACCAAAUAAAAGAUUUUGAUAAUCUCAUAAACUUCAAGACAAAAGAAGUGAUAGGUUCGACAAGUGUGUUUUUGGAAGGUAUCGACAAGUAUUGUAGGGUCAGAGAGUGCAAUUUCGGCGAUCUCAUAACGGACGCGUUUAUAGACUACGUGAGUUUAAGAAUCAUUACAAAUUUUAAUAUUAUAUAUAAGGGCCGUGAAUUUAUAUAGUUUUCUAGAAGUAUAAAGUUCGGAAUUUGUAACAAUAAAGUCAGUUUUUACUUCGUAUUUUUGGAUAUUUUCGUUUUUUCAAUGAAAAAUUACAUUUUUCAUUUAACUGGGAACGCUCAUUCAUUCUUCCAUUAUCUCGGAAAGUGUUAAUUUUUUUGGGAUUUGUUUUGUUAGGCUAGGUUAGUUAGAACAUUUAAAAAACAAACAGCUUUACAAUUUUAAAUUUAUAAUAUUUUUUGUCACUCUUAUUUUUAGGGGUAAAACUACCCAUUACCUAAUGUUAAUUUUCAAUCAUACUUUCCCCAACCCAAACUUAAAAGUGGAAUAUCCCAUGUAUGGAUUGAUGGAAAUAAUAAAUUUCAACACCAAAAUUUAUCUUAACUAAUACUCCUUCUAUUUAUGGAUAUUUAAAUACAGGUUGCUAUUUUAAAAUCAAAAGUAGAUACCUAGUAGUCUUAUACACGAAAAAAGGGUGAUAGAAAUUAACAUGAAUGUAAAAUUUUAGAGCUGCUUGUUUCUUAAAUAUAGGUUAGUACCCAGUUGUUAGAAAAAUGAUAAGGUAAUUGUAGCUACAGCGACUUGCAGUGAUAUCAAUAUCGAAAAGAUAAAAUUUAAAUAAAAGUGUAGUUAUACCAACAAUAUGGAAAAAAUAUGUUUUAAAUUAUUUAAAAUAAUAACACUAUGUAUUUGUGAUAUACAGGUGUCCUAUGGAGAUAUGCAAUCAUUUUUGUUAUAUUCAAUAUAUUUAAUUUCUUUAUUUAAUACUUAACUAACCUAAAGAUCAUUUUUAUUUUAUAACCUGUUUUCUUUUUCAAACAAAUUAAGUAAUGAUGGAUAUCCAUGGCUGUAUACUUUUAUUCAUUCAUAUACAUUUUAAUUCAAAAUGUCCAGUUUAGCAUAGCUUCAUUGUAUUGUAUUUUUAAUUUUAUCUAAUGGUUAAGACAACUAUAAGUAGAAUACGAGUAAUAAAUAUUAUGGAAUAUUUGUGAUAAAUAAUAAGAAAUUGUGAAUAAGAUGAAUACAAACGAUGGCAACAGCUUCAAAAGUUAUACUGAAUGUCUUGGUGAUUAGUGGUUACAUAAAAUAUAUUUAUUUUAAGGUUGUGUAAACGAUAAGAGUUAAACAAUUGUACGAGCCAAUUUUUAUUUUGAGAUAGGCUGGUCACAUUACCGUAAGGGUAUACAAUUUAUACAGAGGUGGCCAAAAGUCGCGCAACAUAUUUGCAACACAAUUUGUAAUAGUAAAAAAAGUCGUUUAUGUUUUCAAAUAAAAAAAAAAAUGAUAUAAAAAUUAACAUUACAAAGUAACAUCAUCUUACGGCAAUUACAAUAAAUGUUCAAAAUUAUGUCCUCCAGCUUCAAUAACUGCUCCACAACGUUUUUUUUACCACGUUUGUGGCAUUGUAAAGAUACGAAUAAUCGGUGCUCAAAAUUUAGAAUUCUUCCUCGAUUCGAUUUUUUAAAUAAAUCAAAUUUUAGAUUGGCGUCUUGUAAACUCGAUCUUUGAUAACUCCCCACAUGCUGAAAUCACAAGAUGUGAGAUCGGGUGAUCUUGGGGGCCAUUCCGUCGUCCCACGGCGACCAAUCCAUUCGUUGAAGUUUUUAUUCAAAAAAUCACGAACCACAACCGCAUAAUGGCAUGGUUAUGUUGUUUUUUUUAUAAUUGUUGCUGUUGUUGUACGUAAAUAAGAUAGUGAGACCAAAGUUACAAUAUGAUGUAAUGAAAACGACGUGGAGGGAGAAACUGCGCCGUAACGCGCGUUCCAUACAAGACGGUAGGCGUUGCGUGACUUUUGGCCACCUCUGUAGUAUAGAAUGUUGGAAACUCUAUUGUGUUAAACUUGUCAUCUUAUCAUUUUUCUGUCAACUGGAAAAUUUCCUUUAAAUGUCUUAUAAAACAAAUUCCGAAAAAAGUUAUUACUUUUUAAGAUAAGAAGUAUUUAAAUGUAACGAUGUGCAUUAUCUUCUUUUUACUAAAUAAUUUAAAAAUCAUUUUUUUAUAAUUAUUAUUUGAAGUUGCAUUAUUUAUCAAUGAAUACUAGCAACAUACUUUUAAAAAUAUCGCUUAUUUUACUGGAUUUUAGGGCAUUUAAUAUAAAUUUAUCAGUGAUAUUUGUGGAACGUUGAGCUGUUUUUUUGAUUAGAGUAUAAAAUAUUUCUAUUCUCGAUAGUUUUUUGUGCGUAAUACUGAAUAAAAAUCGGUUGUCCUGUAAAUAGAACCUAUGGACUAACGUGAAACCGGUCGGCUCAUCGACCAAAUCCUGGACCGACGCACCGAUAGCAAUAAUGCAAAGUGGUGGAAUUCGAUCAAACAUUAAUCACAUUUCCAGAAUAGGUAUAAAUUAGAAAUAAUAUCGAUUUUACCAUCUAUAGUUUUUCGUAUGUGAUUAUUAUUUUUUAUGUGUGCUUAGAUAUAACGUCGCACAUAUAUGUGUGUGUGUGUUUAAGGUAACAUAACGUUUGGCGAUCUGUUAUUGUCGUUGCCGUUCCAGAACGAGGUAGGCAAGAUAACGAUAAAGGGCUCGGAAAUUUGGAACGCUUUUGAAUAUUCCGUUCACCGGUACAACGAAAAAAUUCUAUACGGUGAAUUCCUACAAGUAUCAGGUAUAGUAAUAAUAUACUUUGAAGUAUGAAAUGGUGGUAUGAUAACUAUUACAGAUUAAAUAAUUUCGUUUUGUGUAGUUAUAACCAUGUUAACACAUGUGAGUAGCAGUAUUCCAUCACUAAAGUGCAAUUUGUGUUUAGUCAACUUAUCGUCGUUUAAAUAUUUAAAUAUCUAAUUUUUUGUAUUUCUAAAUAAUUGAUCUAAUAUAGAGUUUUACUACGUUUUAGUAAAUUUUAAAACCCAGUAUUUCUUGUGAAAGCAUGAAAUUUGGGCAUAACAAUGGACGGGAAGGUGUAAAUAGUUGAAAAUCCGAAUGGGACAUCCUAUAUAUGUAUAUAAUAUACAUGUAUAUAAAAUCGCAAUAAAAAAGCCCUUCACCUGCAACGAUAAUUGUACCACAUCAAUCUGUAUAUAAAACUACUCUAAUUCAGGAUUUUGAGCUCAUUUAAUCAAGAGAGAACCAUUAAAAAUAUUUAAAGUAGCAAGGAAAAGAUAUAUCUAUGCAUAACAGACAAGAUUACUAUAAAAUAGUCUACAUUUUAGGAGAAAAUGUAAUAACUGAUAGUAAAAGAUUUCCUCCGAUUCCACCAUGGUACUCUAAAGCGUAUAUAUAUUUAUGAACCUUGAAAAAUUAUUUUUUAUGUGGUACUUCUUUAGAAAUAUAUAAAAUUCAUACAAAAAUCACAGAAAAUUCAAAAUACAUAUUUAUAUCUAUAAAGAACCUAUGGAAAAUUAAAUUUUCAUUUAACACAUUUUCUUAAAUUUUAGGUUCUGAUGAAUGUAUUAUUUUUACUAUGAUAUUAAUUUUUAAUUUUUUUUAUCUAUAAACAACUUUAAUACCAUUGAUUUUGUUCCGAUUUUCAAGUGUUACUCUUUUCUGAAAGAAAAUUUGGUUUUAUAUGUUUUUUCCUUCAUUAAUUAUAAUGAAGGAAAAAACAUAGAAAAAACGAUACUGGGGACAGAUGUAGCCACUGUUGUAGAUGGGAAGUUGGGAAGGUAGGAUACAUAAGAUUAUUUCAUUUAUAUCUGUAGCAACGACAAACCAUUAUUGACGAAAGACAAUUCCGAGCGCAUUUCGGCUAUACAUAAUUUGGAGUACAAUAAUUUUUUUUUGCUAUUUUCGUUUAAAUUUGAUUUUAAAAUGCUUAUUGAAAACGACAAAAAAGCGUCCGAUGAUUUUGGAAAUUUAACCACGUUUAGGUAAGUCCAAUAUAGGUAUCAUUACCAAGUUUCAAGUCUUUACGUGUAUUUAUAUAAGCGAAUUACAGCGAAAAAACUCCCAAAAUUAAAAUUUCUUAAAGGUUUAAAAGUGGCUCAAAAAUGUUGCCGAUAAUACCGUAGAAAGUAAAUCAAAAAGGCAACAAAAAGGUGUCGUGAUUUUUCGAUGAAAUCAUUUUUUUCUGGUAGAAAACGUCGUCCGUGUUUUUAUAAAAUAAUGAAAUUGUAAAAUUGUACAUUUUCCUACGUUUUCUACUUAAGUGUUUUUAUUUAAGAAAUGGCGUCGAAAAUCAAAUGUUUCAUUUAUCAACUAAUAUACCCCUAUAACCCGAAUAGGAAAUAUAAGUAUAAUGUUGUAUGGCAGUGGUUCCCAACUCAACAAUAGGCACGGACCACUUUUAUAAAUUUUUCACCGUCACGGACCAAUCCCUGAUUUCAAACCCCCCCCCCUCUUUAUAUCACUUAUUUUUUUUAUAGUUUUAUAUAUGGUUUAUAAUUUCUAGGUACAAAAUAAAAUCAGAAAUACAGUUUAUGUCGUAGAAAAAUAUUUUAACUUAUUUAUUUAAAAAUUUAAUUUAAUAAAAAAAGCUAAUACAAAUUUAAAUUUUACAUUUUACGAACUUAUAUUGAUUAACUUAUUCAAUGAGAAAAAAUAUAACAAAUUAAUAUUAUUGAGUAUUAAUGUGACUUAAUAGGGCGCGCUUCUUUUACCAGUUGUGAAAUUCUUGGAACGAUGCUGUUGCUUAGUGCCAGUCGCAUAUCAUCACUUGGAUUCAGACGAUUUCGUUGUUUAUUUUUUAUAGAUAAUAGUUAUAGUUAUAGAUAAUGUUAUUUAUAUCCGUACAUAAAUUUUCAUCGGUCGCGAUAGUGUGUUAUCUGGCUGUUAGGCGCUAAGCCGUUAAUAAUAAAAAAUAUCAAGUAUAAAUUCGCUCAUUUUUUUAAAUUUAAAUUUUUUUAUUCACGGAUCACUUAAGAUGAGUCCACGGACCACCGGUGGUCCGCGAACCACCAGUUGGGAACCACUGUUGUAUGGUUAUCACUGUACUAGGCAAAGUAACUACGCGCAAUUGAUCUUCUAUAUUACCAGCCGGGGAACGGGUUGUCACACGUAGUUUUGGCCGAGAUAUUCAGAUAUAAUUUAGGAAAACGCCUUCACGUAAUUUGCUCAAUCAAAUCAUAGUUAUAUCAAUAUGCAGGACCAUCGCCAUAAUGCAAUGUUUAAUACAUAUGAUAAUACUUAAUACGUUAUCAAUUCGAUAUAGGAUAGGAGAGGAUGGAGCAGAAUUUAAUUUAGUUAAUAUAUUUUGUUAAAGUAACUUAAACGAAUACAAUAAACAAUUAAAAAUAGUUAGUCACACUGGUUUUCAUACUGUGUUACAAAACAAGAAAUAUUUUGCCAUCUUUGUAAUAAACAAAAAUAAUAAUCUGUUUACUUACAUUUUUUUUUUUUUUUUUAAUCUUGUUUUCCGUAAGAACUUUUUGGAAACAAAGAUCAAAAAUCAUAACUAUAUUAUAACGUUUACUUAUAUUAAUUUGGUUGCCUAGUAGUAUAUUUACUAUACAUAUUUUAUUUAUAAUUACUACAAUUUAUAAAACGCUUUUAAUUGAUAAUUUUGACACGGGGUAGAUUUUUGAAUUAUAAAACAUGCAACGCAUUUGUUUACAACAAAGUUUAAACAAUGUUCCUAUAUUGUUACAUUAUUAUAUGGUGUUUUUUUUUUAUAAUUUGAAUAAACACUAUUAUUUUUUGUUUAUUUUUAAUUUAUAUUUAACAUUGAAAUGUGCCCCUUUAUUUAUAAUACACACAUCACAGUGACAGAUUCAAAUGUACUUCAUACACGAUGUGCACUUGAAUAAAAAUAAAAUUGUUAUCAUGUAUGGAGUUAAAAUUAAUAAUAUUUGUAAACCUAUAGACUACUAGAUAAUAAUUAUCAAACACUAAAAAUAUAAAAAACCAAAUUUAAUUGUUUUAACAAAUCUCUUAGACAACAAGCCAGUAUACAGGCUCUCUAAGUCAUGGUAAUUUAAAGUUUUUUUUUUUUUUUUUUCAUUUGAAACCGAUAACACUGGAAGAUCUGUAUUAACAUUUCUACUCCACUACUGACAUUGUUUUUUCGGUAUAGGUAUUACUUAUUGAACGGAAUUAUAUAAAAUAUGUAUUUGAUAUCGUCAAAUAGGUUUACGGGUCGUCAUAGACUUGGGUCAGCCCAUUGGCAAGCGGGUACAAUCGAUACAAGCUAGGUGUGGAGAAUGCACCGUUCCGGUUUAUCAGAAAUUAAAUUUGGAUGAAAAUUAUACGAUAAUCAUGACCAGGUACUUAGCGAACGGGGGAGACGGUUUCACGUUUACAAAUAUCGCCGGUUAUAAAAGUUUCGGUGAGUAUAUUAUACAGUAAUAUAAAGUAUUGCGAUUGAAUUUUGUCGCAAAUACCGGUGAUCAGAUCCAUACGAGGAUUUUAAGGAAUCCCCCCUCCUAGACAUUAUGUUAUUAUUUUAUUUUCAAUGAUAUUCUAAAAAACCCACACUUAUACUCCGUAUACCUCAAUAUAAAUACGAUAUAAUACUAUUAUCGACUGUUAAUUUCCAAAUAACAAUCAAUUAUAUUAUUUUGAAAACGCCAAUUUGAACAAAUUGUUGAAAAAAAAAACCGUACACAUUCCAUAAUGUACGUGUAUCGAAAUACAGCAGUAGAACAACAUUAUUCUCAUUACUCAUUAUCCCAGAAAGUUUUAAAAUUUUUACAAAUUGUAUUUAUACAAAAACGACAUCUAUUUGUAUAAUUUUUUAUACAUGUUGGUAUUUGAAAAAAAAAAUUAUUAUUCGUGUCAUCGCCAAAAAUAAGGGUGACAAAAAAUAACGGUAAUAUAACAUUUUAGAACUACUUCUUUUAUAAAUUGUCCAAUAUCCGAAAUCCGAAAAAUACUUUCCGAGAUAAUGAGUGUCUUAUCAAGAGUUGAUAACCCUGUAUAAAAUUAAUGACCUAUUCUACAUUAUAAUGAAUGCAAAAAAUACCGUUAAAACGUCAAAUUUAUUCAAAGUUUCUUCUCGUAUCGCGCGUUUGAUCAUCUGCAGGCAUUUUGCGCUAUAAUUAUUUCCACUGAUGGAAUUGUAUUAUGUUUUUUUUCGAAUGAUUUAGAGAUAUCUGAGUUCGACAUAAUAAAACGGUACAUCGGUCUAAAGUCACCAAUUUGGCCGGAAAUCGGGCAGCGAAUAAUUUUGCUCAACUCUGAAAAGCCACAUAAAACAGUCGACAGCAACAGCAGCAGCAGUAGCAGUGGUCUGAAUAUUUCGAAAUCUCGAUUAACGAUCUAUUUACUAUUUUUGACGACUAUUGUUGUACAAAAUAUACCUACAAAAUUGUUGACACUGCUAUAAGUACAUGUAAUUGGUUAAUUUGAACUGCUAUUGUUGGAAUAUAUUUGUAUACGAUUACCCAAAUAUUACAAAGACAAUAUUAUAUACUACCUGCUCUUCAUUACAACCAUCUAAUUUUAAUUUUAUAUGUUAUUAUAUUAUUAUUUAUUUAAAAUAAAUAUAUUAUAGGUAAACAAUUAAUAAUAUAAUAUUAUAGACCCGACGUAACGUGUCGUUUUACACUUUUAAAAAUAUAUGUUUGUUUUUACUUGGUAAUCGCUGUUAGACAUUAAUCAAAAAAAUAAAAACUGAAAAACUAUUGUACAUUUUGGCCAAUUGAUUUGUAAAAAUUGCGAUAUUGAUAUUGAUUACAAUUUUACUUAAGGACUGGAAUUAUUAUUUGAAGAAUAAGUUGGUUUCAGUGUGUCAAUAAUGAUAAGAGAGAAAGUUAUACUACGGAAGUACAUACAUUGAAAAAUACGUGUGUUAUAGUGUUUUAAUAUUUACUUCGAAAUGUAUUGUAUUGUCAACAGUUAUAAUUUAACAUUAAAACAAAUUCAAAUU
Molecule: non-coding RNA, 24058 nt
Organism: Cinara cedri
Lineage: Eukaryota; Metazoa; Arthropoda; Insecta; Hemiptera; Aphididae
Source: the annotation of a GenBank genome assembly